UACGGAGGGUGCAAGCGUUAUCCGGAUUCACUGGGUUUAAAGGGUGUGUAGGCGGGCAGUUAAGUCAGUGGUGAAAUCUCCGGGCUCAACCCGGAAACUGCCAUUGAUACUAUCUGUCUUGAAUAUCGUUGAGGUAGGCGGAAUAUAUCAUGUAGCGGUGAAAUGCUUAGAUAUGAUAUAGAACACCGAUUGCGAAGGCAGCUUGCUAAACGAUGAUUGACGCUGAGGCACGAAAGCGUGGGGAUCAAACAGG
RNAcentral lists this ribosomal RNA (253 nucleotides) under uncultured bacterium. RNAcentral's name for it is "partial 16S ribosomal RNA". It matches the Rfam family "Bacterial small subunit ribosomal RNA", at positions 524 to 776 of the family's 1533-position model. The record is from RNAcentral.